RNAcentral lists this long non-coding RNA (1760 nucleotides) under Trifolium pratense (red clover). RNAcentral describes it as "long non-coding RNA (TPRA_LNC006725)". Lineage: Eukaryota; Viridiplantae; Streptophyta; Magnoliopsida; Fabales; Fabaceae. The record is from RNAcentral.
UUGGUUUUACCAAUAUAUGAUUUGAUAUCCACCUUUUUUUAAUUUUUCUUUCUUUGCAACAUCAAGGGUGUUACCGCAAAUCCAGAGACGGAUCUGUCAUAAUAAGUUUCAAAGGAAAGGUAUAACUAAAUUUCCACAUUCUAGUCAUAGUUUUGAAAAUAAAGUAAUGUAAAUUUCUCCGCUAAGCCAUUCUAGUGUUGUUACAGGACCUAACACGCCUUGAAUCAGCUAUAAGCGCAUUACAAAAGAAGUUUAAAUCUGGUGCUUUCACAGAGACGAAGUAGCAUGAUUGAUAUCUACAUGCAUUGACAUGUCAUGGUGCAUUACAAAUAUAAGAUGCAAAGUGAUAAAAAUGGACAAGGAAGAAAAUCAAGGGUGCUAUUAUCAUUACAAAAGGAAGAAAAAUGGUACAAACAAGUGGCUGAAGCUUCAAUAUUCACAACACUUUUAUCUCCUUCAAGGAGCUUGAUUAUUACUGAAUGAUGAUUAUUAUCUCAAUUUACAGCACCAGUUUACAAAUACACAUGAUUUUUCAUUGAAAACACACCAGUUGAACCUUUUAAGUUGGCAGCAUUAUUUACACUAUCAGAUUUAUGGCUACUUUUUACCUGAUUUUGAUGUUGAUUGAAGGAGUAACUGUGUAUGAACCACUUAAGCCAAUUUAUUACUGAGAUAUGGUUUGCCCAAAGGAGUAAGCCAUUUAUGUAUGAACCACUUUUGACCAUAUUUUUUUAACUAUUCAUUACCGAGGCAUUUAGCGUUUGGUAACACAAAUAAGCUAGCUUAUAAUUUAUUAUAUUAGCUUAUAAGCUUAUUUCAUAAAAUUAAAGAUGUCUGGUAACAAGUUUUUUCACUAGCUUAUAGUUUUUUUCUAGAUGCUAUUUCAAGUAGCAUUUGAGCUUAUAGCUUAUAGUAGUAGCUUUUUACCGUUCAUUCCAAUUUUAACCUUAUUAUUUUAAUUAUUAUUUCUUUAUUUAUUUUUUAAAUAAAAAACCACCCACUUACAAAAAUAACUAUCCACUCAUACAAAAUAAUCAUAUAUUUUUAUGUCAUUUUGUACUUGCAACAACUAAAUUUACCUAAUACUUAAUUUCAUUUUACUAAUUUUUCAGCUAUUGGUUAAAAGUUAACUUAUCGGCUAUCACCUAGCUUAUAACUUAAUUUAAUUUUACAUAGGAGAGCCUAAUGUAUUGAAUUUUUUUGACAAUCUCAUAAAGGAAUUUACUGAGAUGAAUGAAUUUGUAUGAUAAAGAUAAAUAAGAUGGUUUAAAACAUGAACAAUAUAUAAUCUUAUUUGUGUAAUCUUGACAACACUGUGGCCAUACAUUAGUAUUUAUUAAAUUUAUUCUUUAAGUUCCAGCAUAAUAACUUACAUGCUUUGCUUCAAAAAAAAAAAAAAAACUUACAUAUGCUUAUAAAUAACAUAUAAUUAAUUUUCAACUUAAUCAGUCGGUUCACAGAUACAAAUGUACAAACGGCACUUGGUUAUAUAUCCCUUGUAACAUUUAUUUUCUUUACAAUCAUCAUCAGUAAAGCAAAAUGAACUAUCUGUGAUGUCAAAUAAGAGUAAAGGAAUUUAUUAAAAACAGAUUAACGAUUAUGUAUAUGAUAAAGAAGUUAGUCUAAAAUAGGUGUAUGGAAAAGAACUUACCAUAACUGGUUACAAGAGCAAUUAGAGAAAAAAUAAUAAUUAAAACAUGAAUGAAUUUGAGAGUUUUAUUCAUAUUUUUCACCCUUUGCAUACAUAAUAAAUAAAAUUU